RNAcentral lists this ribosomal RNA (468 nucleotides) under uncultured bacterium. Its description in RNAcentral is "partial 16S ribosomal RNA". It matches the Rfam family "Bacterial small subunit ribosomal RNA", at positions 28 to 507 of the family's 1533-position model. The record is from RNAcentral.
GACGAACGCUGGCGGCGUGCUUAACACAUGCAAGUCGAACGGAAAGGCCCUGCUUUUGUGGGGUGCUCGAGUGGCGAACGGGUGAGUAACACGUGAGUAACCUGCCCUUGACUUUGGGAUAACUUCAGGAAACUGGGGCUAAUACCGGAUAGGAGCUCCGGCUGCAUGGUGGGGGUUGGAAAGUUUCGGCGGCUGGGGAUGGACUCGCGGCUUAUCAGCUUGUUGGUGGGGUAGUGGCUUACCAAGGCUUUGACGGGUAGCCGGCCUGAGAGGGUGACCGGCCACAUUGGGACUGAGAUACGGCCCAGACUCCUACGGGAGGCAGCAGUGGGGAAUAUUGCACAAUGGGCGGAAGCCUGAUGCAGCAACGCCGCGUGCGGGAUGACGGCCUUCGGGUUGUAAACCGCUUUCGCCUGUGACGAAGCGUGAGUGGCGGUAAUGGGUAAAGAAGCACCGGCUAACUACGUG